UACUUUUUCAUCAUUACCGAUAAGACCAUCAACAGAGGACCUUAUUAUACUUAGGGCAACUGUGCCAGCCGCAACGAUCAGAAAUAGAUUUUGGUUUUUAACUAGAUUUUUACAGAUUUUGGUCAUAAAUAAGGACUUUGGGAAGCGGGCUGCACACCCCCACCAAAUUUUUCUGGGAGUACCCCCCUGGCCUGAUACCCAGUUGUCGCUUUUUGUUUUACUUUUACUCUGUAUAGAAUGGAACUCUAAGAGCAUGGUUGCCACAGGUCAGGAAAUUGUGAGUCAGGGAAAAUUGAAAUAAUUUAACAUGGCUUUUUUAAUAGCAUUGAGGGUUGGACAAAACAUUUGGGAUCGUGAUGAUCUUAGUGAUGCUUUUUCCUUAAUGAAGAAGGGAACUUUAGGAGCAGUGGGUACAACUUUGAAAGAGUUUUCACCAGUCUCUCUCUGUUUGUUCAAAAUUGUUUUAUAAUAAAUUUCACUGUGUGAUAUGUCGUUCAAGAAUGUUCAAUAAAAUAUUCUUGACAUUUUUGGA
This is a long non-coding RNA of Orbicella faveolata, 532 nucleotides long. The record is from RefSeq and is a predicted model, not a curated record. NCBI's taxonomy places the organism in Eukaryota, Metazoa, Cnidaria, Anthozoa, Scleractinia, Merulinidae.